AGCUGUCAUUUACAGUGGAACUUCCACUUUGCAAAAUGAAAACGUCCUUAUCUCGCACUGACUCACGAAUUUCAACGCUUGUCUCGCCAUUUGCAAACCUUUUUAGAGAUACAUCACAAGGUGUAAUUCCAAGUCGGUUAGAAAUGAGAUGUAAAAGUUCAGGAUGAGAACCGCCUCCAAUGAUUGUAGCACUCUUCAUAUUCCCUAUAAUAUAUUUCCUCAACUUACG
Molecule: non-coding RNA, 229 nt
Organism: Schizosaccharomyces pombe (fission yeast)
Lineage: Eukaryota; Fungi; Ascomycota; Schizosaccharomycetes; Schizosaccharomycetales; Schizosaccharomycetaceae
Source: the annotation of a GenBank genome assembly